This 445-nucleotide ribosomal RNA is filed under the name uncultured bacterium. RNAcentral's name for it is "SSU rRNA". It matches the Rfam family "Bacterial small subunit ribosomal RNA", at positions 26 to 518 of the family's 1533-position model. The record is from RNAcentral.
AGAACGAACGCUGGCGGCAGGCUUAACACAUGCAAGUCGAACGCCCCGCAAGGGGAGUGGCAGACGGGUGAGUAACGCGUGGGAAUCUACCCAGUUCUACGGAAUAACACAGGGAAACUUGUGCUAAUACCGUAUACGCCCUACGGGGGAAAGAUUUAUCGGGAUUGGAUGAGCCCGCGUUGGAUUAGCUAGUUGGUGGGGUAAUGGCCUACCAAGGCGACGAUCCAUAGCUGGUCUGAGAGGAUGAUCAGCCACACUGGGACUGAGACACGGCCCAGACUCCUACGGGAGGCAGCAGUGGGGAAUAUUGGACAAUGGGCGCAAGCCUGAUCCAGCCAUGCCGCGUGAGUGAUGAAGGCCUUAGGGUUGUAAAGCUCUUUCGAGUGGGGAAGAUAAUGACGGUACCCACAGAAGAAGCCCCGGCUAACUUCGCGCCAGCAGCCGC